AUCAACUCUUUGUGCUUCAUACAAUUCAAGAUACCACUUCUACGACAAUGAUUCCACAGACAUGGAGGAAAUCAUGAUUUGCACAGAUAUAACUGACUUUCUGCCAAAGAGAGAACCUAAGAAGACCCGAUGGCUAGGUUUCGUGGAGUGCUUCGAAUUUUUGAAAUCUCUAGUUAGCUAAUGAUUUCAAUUUCACAACACGGUUCUCCUCUCUCAUUCUUGUUAUUAUUUUUUUUUUUUUACCUUUUAUCUUGUUAUACAGUAAUAUAAGGGAACAAAUGAAUGGUGUGUAAAUGGUUAUCAAUGUCUUUUAACUCAAUAUAUUCAUGUUUCCUUAGGAAGAGUAUAUCCUAGAUGUCAAAUCAGGCAAGAAAUAACAAGAAUCAACUCAUGGAAUCACAAAACAUUACAUAGGAUUCAACCUAGAACAUUGGGUUUUGGAGACUGACGUGAAAUUAGAAUGAAAUAACAAGUGACACCCGAACUAAAUUACAGUAAUCUCAUUACUUAGGGAUUCAAUCUAGGACAUCGGUUUUGGAGAGCCAUGAAAAAUUAGAAAGAAAUAACAAGUGAAACCACAUUAUGCAUGAUUCAACAUACAUCUGGUCUUGGAGAUUCACUGUAUGAAAUCAGGCAAGAAAUAACAAGUGAAACCCAAGUUGUGAAAUCAUGCAAGAAAUAACGGGAAUGGAUGGAUCAUGGAAUCAUGCUAUGUAGAAUUUAAUCUAUAGGACAUUGAGUUUUUGAAACUCAGUUUCAACACUUUCUAACAGCAAAGGAUUCCUGUCUUCAUGCUUGUCUCUUUAUUGUGCCCAACCUAAGAAAGUACAGGAGUCAACGCUCC
Molecule: long non-coding RNA, 844 nt
Filed under: Olea europaea subsp. europaea
Lineage: Eukaryota; Viridiplantae; Streptophyta; Magnoliopsida; Lamiales; Oleaceae
Source: RNAcentral